AUCCAUGUUGGGGCGUCAUAAGAAAAAUAAAAAAGUAAAGUGAGACUAAUUGAAGGGGACUUGGGUUAAUUUAAGGGAGAAAAUGGGACUUUUUGUUUAUCUUCCACCAAUGUCUGAAGCAGAGGAGAGCAAAAUGGAAGUGAUGGUUUGGGAAGGAGCUCUGACUCUCAGCAAAGAUUGGAUGGGAAGAGUUUGAAACAGGAGCCAGGGUGACCAGGGGCCGGAUUUUGUAAUCACUACUGCAAAUGAUCAUCCUAGCCUGGUGGGAAGGUGACAACAUGCCCUGAUGUGUCUGUCUGCUCACCUGUCGCACAGGCACUUAAAAACCAAUAUUUCUACAACUUUGUCAAAUCUAAUAUCUAUCAUCUCUCUGCUUGUUCCACCAAUUAUUUUGUCACCCAAAUCUUGGAAUUUUACUUAACUCUAUCUUGUCCCUCAUUUCAACCAUUCAGUUAAAAGAUUCAAUGCAACUCUGCUUGGUAAAUAUUCUCUUUUCUAAUCUCACUGCAAAUAUUCAUUCAGCAUCUACUCUGAAGUAGGUACCAUGCUAGUGCUGGGGUAUUGUGGAGGAUAUGAGACCCUCCAGUCCAGCAAACAAGGCAGACAUUGAGCAAAUUUCCUGGUUGCAGUCACUGCUAGAGAAGGACUGUUCUAUGGCAUAUCACACAGGUGUGAAUCCCAAUCAGAAAGAUCUAUGAACAUUUUCCUGGAGAAAUAACACUGAGACGGAAGCUUGAAAGGAUGAAAAUGGGUUAAGUGAUGAAAGAGAAGAAAAAACAAAUCCAGAAACAAGGGUACCAUCUGCCACCGUCCUGAGUCAGAAAAGGAUGUGGUGUGUAUGGAGAAAACAGAAUUCCAUGGCACUUACAGAUCUAAACAUCUCAUGCUACUGGAGUAUUUGUUGAUGUAAAGAAUUUUCUAAGAAAAAUAUCAACCAACAACAGAAUUAGUGUGAGAAAGUCAUAAAGAAUUAGAGGGGAUAUAAAAUGAACUCAAGAUUUUAAAAAAUUAACAUGAUUUGUAAUAGACCUUAUAAGAGGAAAAGAAUUAAGAGAUCAUGGAGGGAAGCCUGCAGGGAA
Molecule: long non-coding RNA, 1079 nt
Organism: Sciurus carolinensis (gray squirrel)
Lineage: Eukaryota; Metazoa; Chordata; Mammalia; Rodentia; Sciuridae
Exons: 3
Source: RefSeq, a predicted model, not a curated record